This 245-nucleotide ribosomal RNA is filed under the name uncultured Brevibacterium sp. Its description in RNAcentral is "partial 16S ribosomal RNA". It matches the Rfam family "Bacterial small subunit ribosomal RNA", at positions 524 to 768 of the family's 1533-position model. The record is from RNAcentral. Lineage: Bacteria; Bacillati; Actinomycetota; Actinomycetes; Micrococcales; Brevibacteriaceae.
UACGAGGGGUCCUAGCGUUGUUCGGAAUCAUUGGGCGUAAAGAGCUCGUAGGUGGCUUAGUAAGUCAGGUGUGAAAGCCCAAGGCUCAACCUUGGAAGUGCACUUGAAACUGCAUAGCUUGAGUACGGUAGAGGUGAGUGGAAUUCCUGGUGUAGUGGUGAAAUACGUAGAUAUCAGGAGGAACAUCAGUGGCGAAGGCGGCUCACUGGACCAGUACUGACACUGAGGAGCGAAAGCAUGGGGAU